GUCCGUGGCCUAAUGGAUAAGGCGUCUGACUUCGAAUCAGAAGAUUGCAGGUUCAAUCCUGUCGCGGACG
RNAcentral lists this transfer RNA (70 nucleotides) under Trichonephila inaurata madagascariensis. It matches the Rfam family "tRNA". From Rfam's summary of the family: Transfer RNA (tRNA) molecules are approximately 80 nucleotides in length. Their secondary structure includes four short double-helical elements and three loops (D, anti-codon, and T loops). Lineage: Eukaryota; Metazoa; Arthropoda; Arachnida; Araneae; Nephilidae. The record is from Rfam by way of RNAcentral.